UACGAAGGGGGCUAGCGUUGUUCGGAUUCAUUGGGCGUAAAGGGUGCGUAGGCGGCGGGGCAAGUCAGGUGUGAAAUCUCGGGGCUCAACCCCGAAACUGCACUUGAUACUGCCUUGCUCGAGUACUGGAGAGGAGACUGGAAUUUACGGUGUAGCAGUGAAAUGCGUAGAUAUCGUAAGGAAGACCAGUGGCGAAGGCGAGUCUCUGGACAGUUACUGACGCUGAGGCACGAAGGCCAGGGGAGCAAACGGG
This 253-nucleotide ribosomal RNA is filed under the name uncultured bacterium. RNAcentral's name for it is "partial 16S ribosomal RNA". It matches the Rfam family "Bacterial small subunit ribosomal RNA", at positions 524 to 776 of the family's 1533-position model. The record is from RNAcentral.